Molecule: transfer RNA, 63 nt
Filed under: Chelonus formosanus
Lineage: Eukaryota; Metazoa; Arthropoda; Insecta; Hymenoptera; Braconidae
Description: tRNA-Val
Source: RNAcentral
GAUUUUAAUUUUAAAAUUAAUCUUAUAAUAUUAAUUAAUAAAAAUUUAAAUUUAUUAAAAAAU